AGAAAAGCCCUUUUUAGGGCUACAAAAUAAUUUUAAAGAGAUUUAAU
This is a non-coding RNA of Glossina brevipalpis, 47 nucleotides long. The record is from Rfam. Lineage: Eukaryota; Metazoa; Arthropoda; Insecta; Diptera; Glossinidae.